RNAcentral lists this ribosomal RNA (333 nucleotides) under uncultured Bacillota bacterium. RNAcentral describes it as "bacterial SSU rRNA". It matches the Rfam family "Bacterial small subunit ribosomal RNA", at positions 28 to 351 of the family's 1533-position model. The record is from RNAcentral. Lineage: Bacteria; Bacillati; Bacillota.
GACGAACGCUGGCGGCGUGCCUAAUACAUGCAAGUCGAGCGAAUCUUUGGGAGCUUGCUCCUAAAGGUUAGCGGCGGACGGGUGAGUAACACGUGGGCAACCUGCCUAUAAGACUGGGAUAACUUCGGGAAACCGGAGCUAAUACCGGAUAAUUCUUUUCUACACAUGUAGAAAAGCUAAAAGACGGUUUACGCUGUCACUUAUAGAUGGGCCCGCGGCGCAUUAGCUAGUUGGUGAGGUAACGGCUCACCAAGGCCACGAUGCGUAGCCGACCUGAGAGGGUGAUCGGCCACACUGGGACUGAGACACGGCCCAGACUCCUACGGGUGGCAG